AGAGUUUGAUCAUGGCUCAGGACGAACGCUGGCGGCAUGCCUUACACAUGCAAGUCGAACGGACCUAGCAAUAGGUUAGUGGCGAACGGGUGAGUAAUACAUGAGCAACCUGCCUCAAACAGGGGGAUAACACCGGGGAAAACUGGUGCUAAUACCGCAUAAGACCACAGCGCGGCAUUCGCGCAGGGGUAAAAACGAUUCAGUGGUUUAGAAGAUGGGCUCAUGUCCCAUUAGCUAGUUGGUGAGA
RNAcentral lists this ribosomal RNA (247 nucleotides) under uncultured bacterium. Its description in RNAcentral is "partial 16S ribosomal RNA". It matches the Rfam family "Bacterial small subunit ribosomal RNA", at positions 8 to 257 of the family's 1533-position model. The record is from RNAcentral.